GAUGAAGAACGUAGUGAAAUGCGAUAAGUAAUGUGAAUUGCAGAAUUCAGUGAAUCAUCGAAUCUUUGAACGCACAUUGCGCCCGCCAGUAUUCUGGCGGGCAUGCCUGUUCGAGCGUCAUUACAACCAUCAAGCCCCAGGCUUGUGUUGGGGACCUGCGGCUGCCGCAGGCCCUGAAAACCAGUGGCGGGCUCGCUGUCACACCGGGCGUAGUAGAUUUUAUCUCGCUCAGGGCGUGCUGCGGGUUCCGGCCGUUAAAAAGCCUUUUUUACCCAAGGUUGACCUCGGAUCAGGUAGGAAGACCCGCUGAACUUAAGCAUAUCAAUAAGCGGAGGA
RNAcentral lists this unclassified non-coding RNA (336 nucleotides) under soil metagenome. RNAcentral describes it as "partial contains 5.8S ribosomal RNA, internal transcribed spacer 2, and large subunit ribosomal RNA". The stretch from base 1 to 120 matches the Rfam family "5.8S ribosomal RNA", at positions 35 to 154 of the family's 154-position model. The record is from RNAcentral.